CGUACACUCCUGCGGGAGGCAGCAGUGGGGAAUAUUGGACAAUGGGCGCAAGCCUGAUCCAGCCAUGCCGCGUGAGUGAUGAAGGCCCUAGGGUUGUAAAGCUCUUUCACCGGUGAAGAUAAUGACGGUAACCGGAGAAGAAGCCCCGGCUAACUUCGUGCCAGCAGCCGCGGUAAUACGAAGGGGGCUAGCGUUGUUCGGAUUUACUGGGCGUAAAGCGCACGUAGGCGGACUAUUAAGUCAGGGGUGAAAUCCCGGGGCUCAACCCCGGAACUGCCUUUGAUACUGGUAGUCUUGAGUUCGAGAGAGGUGAGUGGAAUUCCGAGUGUAGAGGUGAAAUUCGUAGAUAUUCGGAGGAACACCAGUGGCGAAGGCGGCUCACUGGCUCGAUACUGACGCUGAGGUGCGAAAGCGUGGGUAGCAAACAGGAUUAGAAACCCCAGUAGUCCCAUG
RNAcentral lists this ribosomal RNA (453 nucleotides) under uncultured organism. RNAcentral's name for it is "partial 16S ribosomal RNA". It matches the Rfam family "Bacterial small subunit ribosomal RNA", at positions 330 to 799 of the family's 1533-position model. The record is from RNAcentral.